This 398-nucleotide long non-coding RNA is filed under the name Danio rerio (zebrafish). RNAcentral describes it as "si:ch211-212b13.1 (ENSDARG00000093393.2)". The record is from RNAcentral. Lineage: Eukaryota; Metazoa; Chordata; Actinopteri; Cypriniformes; Danionidae.
AGAAUUUGUAUUACAACCGCUUUACAGCAGCCAGACCAGCUGGCUUUGGACGGCUUUCUUCUUGCCCCUGUGAGGCCUGACUUCACACUCUCGUCCCUGGGUCUUUCUGCCGGAAGGGAGCUGGGCGACAGAAGUUUGAAGGGUAGGAUCCCAGAUGGACGCUGACACGCUGGGCAUGCGUGUAUGUGACAGGGCUUGGCUCAGGGGAGUGGUGGACCAGCCGCAGCUGUCACUCACAAAUACUGAGUGUGUUAGAUGUGUUUUGUCUUAUUAGUAUUGAUAAAAGUGCAAAAUUGUGCUGAUCGGAGAACAACAAUGGCUGACUAUUCACAAGAGAAAGGGACGAUAUAAGGAAUGAUGCCCUGUUGGUUUGCUUUCUCAUUGUAAAACUUUGCCAG